This 449-nucleotide ribosomal RNA is filed under the name uncultured bacterium. RNAcentral describes it as "bacterial SSU rRNA". It matches the Rfam family "Bacterial small subunit ribosomal RNA", at positions 354 to 796 of the family's 1533-position model. The record is from RNAcentral.
GUAGGGAGUUUUCGACAAUGGGGGCAACCCUGAUCGAGCAACGCCGCGUGAGUGAUGAAGGUCUUCGGAUUGUAAAACUCUUUUAUUUGGGAUAAAUGGCUAGGGUAGGUAAUGACCUUAGUUUGAUAGUACCUUUUGAAUAAGCAACGACUAACUACGUGCCAGCAGUCGCGGUAAUACGUAGGUUGCAAGCGUUAUCCGGAAUUAUUGGGCGUAAAGAGUGAGCAGGCGGUCUAUUAAGUUUGAGGUCAAAUCGAUGGGCUUAACCCAUUCUCGCUUCAAAAACUGGUAGACUAGAGUAUGUGAGAGGUAAGUAGAACUCCAUGUGUAGCGGUGAAAUGCGUAGAUAUAUGGAAGAAUACCAGUGGCGAAGGCGGCUUACCAGCACAAUACUGACGCUCAGUCACGAAAGCACAGGGAGCAAAUAGGAUUAGAAACCCUAGUAGUCC